This 471-nucleotide ribosomal RNA is filed under the name uncultured bacterium. RNAcentral describes it as "partial 16S ribosomal RNA". It matches the Rfam family "Bacterial small subunit ribosomal RNA", at positions 28 to 507 of the family's 1533-position model. The record is from RNAcentral.
GAUGAACGCUAGCGGCAGGCCUAACACAUGCAAGUCGAGGGAGGAGCCUUCGGGCUUCGACCGGCGUACGGGUGCGUAACGCGUAUACAAUCUGCCUUUCACAUAGGGAUAGCCCGAAGAAAUUUGGAUUAAUACCUAAUGGUAUAUAGAUGUGGCAUCACCUUUAUAUUAAAGCUGAGGCGGUGAAAGAUGAGUAUGCGUUCUAUUAGCUAGUUGGAGAGGUAACGGCUCCCCAAGGCGACGAUAGAUAGGGGUUCUGAGAGGGAUAUCCCCCACACUGGUACGGAGAUACGGACAAGACUACUACGGGAGGCAGCAGUGAGGAAUAUUGGACAAUGGUCGGAAGACUGAACCAGCCAUGCCGCGUGCAGGACGGCCUUAUGGGUUGUAAACUGCUUUUGCAGGGGAAGAAUAAGGACUACGCGUAGUUUGAUGACGGUACUCUGCGAAUAAGCAUCGGCUAACUCCGCG